Molecule: long non-coding RNA, 633 nt
Organism: Chelonia mydas (Green sea turtle)
Lineage: Eukaryota; Metazoa; Chordata; Testudines; Cheloniidae
Exons: 2
Source: RefSeq, a predicted model, not a curated record
GGGGGAGAGGAGGGGGCGUGUCGCAUCCCCCUCCGGGGCGGGGCGGCUGCAGCCCCGGGCCCCCCCCGCUGGCACAAGGCUCCCCCCCCCCCCCGCAGCUCUGACUGUAUUUUUCCAUUACCCCAUCCCAGGCCCCGCCUCCGGCUCCCACGUGCGCCGGUCCGGUCCCCCCCCCCCCCCCCCAGGCUAUGGUCCAGCGCGUGUGUGGGGCGAGGGGCGGGGGAGUCCCUGUGCGCCCCCCCCCCCCCGCCUCCCUCCUGCAGCCCGGCCGGUGGGAAUCAGCGGGCAGCCGGCAGCACCUACCAGGUCUCCCACAAGGCCCUGCCAUUCCUCACCGGCUGACUCACUGCCAAGGGGCUGUGUGCGCGUGACCUGCGCUCAUCUCCUCGCCCGCACGCCUUUCAGAAGUGCCUGCAGUCAAACGCCUGCUCCCCACGCCGGGGCCGUCAGAAUAUACUCAGGCCUUGGACACAGCAGGAAUCAAACCCACCUGACUUCAUCGAUCAAACUGGCUAGAGGAGCGACUCUUGGCUCCAUUCAUGGGGGAUUUGGGUUGGGCCGGGGAAUUUCCCAGCCUCCUGAUCUGGGCGACCCAGCCCACAAUAAAUACACAAUAAAUCACAAUAAAACGAA